This is an unclassified non-coding RNA of Macaca fascicularis (crab-eating macaque), 305 nucleotides long. It matches the Rfam family "Metazoan signal recognition particle RNA". Rfam says of the family: The signal recognition particle (SRP) is a universally conserved ribonucleoprotein. The record is from Ensembl. Lineage: Eukaryota; Metazoa; Chordata; Mammalia; Primates; Cercopithecidae.
GCCAGGUAAGGUGGCACACACCUAGCUGUGGUCCCAGCUAUUCAGGAGGUUGAGGUGGGAGGAUCGCUUGAGCCCAGGAUAUCUAGGCUAUAGUUCUGGGCUACGCCAAUCGGGUAUCCACACUAAAUUCCACAUCAAUAUGGUGACCUCUUGGGAACGGGCGACUACCAAGUUGCCUAAGGAGGGGUGAACCGGCCCAAGUCAGAAACGGAGCAGGUCAAAACUCCCAUGCUAGUCAGUACUGGGAUGCACCUGUGAAUACCACUGCAUUCCACUCAGGGCAACAUAGCAAGACCUCAUCUCUU